AUUGAACGCUGGCGGCAGGCCUAACACAUGCAAGUCGAGCGGAUGAAGGGAGCUUGCUCCUGGAUUCAGCGGCGGACGGGUGAGUAAUGCCUAGGAAUCUGCCUGGUAGUGGGGGAUAACGUCCGGAAACGGGCGCUAAUACCGCAUACGUCCUGAGGGAGAAAGUGGGGGAUCUUCGGACCUCACGCUCGCAGAGGAGCCUAGGUCGGAGUAGCUAGUUGGUUGGGUAAAGGCCUACCAAGGCGACGAUCCGUAACUGGUCUGAGAGGAUGAUCAGUCACACUGGAAGUGAGACACGGUCCAGACUCCUACGGGAGGCAGCAGUGGGGAAUAUUGGACAAUGGGCGAAAGCCUGGUCCAGCCGUGCCGAGUGUGUGAAGACGGUCUUCGGAUUGUAAAGCACUUUAAGUUGGGAGGAAGGGCAGUAAGUUAAUACCUUGCUGUUUUGACGUUACCAACAGAAUAAGCACCGGCUAACUUCGUG
RNAcentral lists this ribosomal RNA (484 nucleotides) under uncultured bacterium. RNAcentral's name for it is "partial 16S ribosomal RNA". It matches the Rfam family "Bacterial small subunit ribosomal RNA", at positions 30 to 507 of the family's 1533-position model. The record is from RNAcentral.